RNA transcript from Macadamia integrifolia, 2661 nucleotides. RefSeq lists it as uncharacterized. The transcript is spliced from 17 exons. NCBI's taxonomy places the organism in Eukaryota, Viridiplantae, Streptophyta, Magnoliopsida, Proteales, Proteaceae. The record is from RefSeq and is a predicted model, not a curated record.
UACUAUCUUUAUCUGCUUCCGCCAGUGGCGGUUUCCACUGAAGGGUGAACAGUUCUGGCUAGGGAAUGUCUCUCACGCUUUUCUCCGGCUUCUCAACUCAAGCUCAACUACCUUCACCUUCCUUCAUCACCACCUCUCGCCUCGUCCAGAGCGUAGUACGAACCAAAGCUUCACCUGCAACGACCCCUUCUCUCCAGCAGCCUCUCCCACCCAGCCCUAAUGAAGUUCAAGUUCCAGUUCCAGCUUCAACACCACCGCCCUCAUUAUCCUGCGCCCUCCAAUGCCCUCACUUCCAAUCGUGCUCGGGUUGCACUCACGAGUGGAACUUACACCGUCCGCCCAUUCUCGAUGAAGCCACCGAUUUCUUCAAGAAACUCGGUGUUUCCGACUUCACCUUCGAUAGUUGUAGACUGUGGGGUUGGAGAUGCCGCGCAAAACUAGCUGUUCGGGGUUCGUCCUUCAGUCCUUUAAUUGGACUUUAUCAAGAGGGUUCACAUAAUGUCGUUGAUAUCCCUAUCUGCAAAGCUCACCAUCCUAACAUUAACAUUGCUGUUGAACUUCUAAGGCAAGGUAUUCGGAAGUUGGGUGUUGAGCCGUACAACGAGGAUGAAGGGACAGGUGAAUUGCGAUACGUGCAGAUGGCUGUGACAACACACAAUACAUCCCUCCCCACUGCCGAGAGAUACCGAAAUGGUAAAGUCCAGGUCAGUUUGGUCUGGAAUUCAAGGAAUGAGAACUCGCCUAGCUCAGAAAAAUUAAAUGCAUUGGUAAAUGUAAGGUUUUUAUGGAGAAAUGGUGGGCCGAGGAGCAAUCGUCAUCUGAUUCACUCUGUCUGGGUUAACUUUCAGACAUCAGCUAAUAAUAUAAUUUUUGGAAAUAGGUGGAGACACUUAGUAGGAGAAAGAGAUUUUUGGGAACAUGUUGGAGGAAUCGAUAUUUCUUUAGAUCCAUCAAGCUUUGGCCAAGCAAAUACACGGGCUUUUGAUUUGCUACUCGGGAAGUUGCAAAAAUAUGUCCCCUAUGGAGCAUCUGUUGCUGAUUUGUAUGCAGGAGCAGGUGCAAUUGGAUUAUCAUUAGCUGUUGCUAGAAAAUGCAGGUCUGUGAAAUGCAUAGAGAUCAACAAAGAGUCAAAGGUGUCUUUUGAGAAAACUGUUGGCCGCUUACCAAGUUCUGUUGAUAGCAGCAUCAGCUGGCACCAUGCAGAUGCUUCGACUGAACCUUUUUCUUGGCUUGAAGGAUCAGAUGUGGUCAUAGUUGAUCCUCCUAGAAAAGGGUUGGACCUUACUUUGGUCAAUGCAUUGCAGAAUAUUGCAUCUUUCAUGCAUAAAGCAAUGAGAUCUGAAAGUUCUUCCUUAAAGUCGAAAGAUGAGAAGAGGCCAUGGAUUUUACGUGCAAUGGAAGGUUCUGUCAAGAUAGAAAGCAAAACAAUCUGGGAGAAAAGCGAGGCAUUGCCUCAAACUCUUAUCUAUAUAAGCUGUGGAUGGGAAAGCUUUAAAGAGGAUUGCAGGUCUUUGUUGUCUGCUAAGGCAUGGUAUUUGGAAAAAGCACAUGGUUUCAAUUUCUUUCCAGGCACCAAUAGCAUCGAAAUCUUGGCAGUGUUCAAGCGGGAAGCAGGGGUCGGCCUCAAGAAGAAGAAAACGGGAAAGACAAAGAAGAAGAAGAAGAAGAAGAAGAAGAAAUCACUACAAGAUACCUAAGAUAUAAACUGGAAAGAGUGAAAGACCAUGGAAGCCAUCCUUUCGGAUGAAAAUGUGAGGGAAGGCACUCAAAAUGUUGUGGCUCCUCAAAUCUUGUCUGGUCAAGAUCCCCACCACAGGAGACACCUACAAAAUUCAACACCCAGAAGAAGGUGGGGGGAGGAGAAGUGAAAUGUUUGACCAACUCACCCCAGCUGCUUGAUACUUUGGUACAAUCAGCAAAUGGCGGAGCCCAACCUGCCGGAAUAGCACCACAGCCUUGGCAACUGACAUGUUCUCCACAACUGUGUAUGGGGUGGUGUUGGUGAAAGGAUGCAAAUCUACAUACAUCUCCAUUUCUUCAUCUGUUACAGUCACCUCGAUCUUCGUACUCUCUGCCAAGUCAAAUGAGGUAAAUUUCUCCCUAGCUUCCCACUCCUCUGUUCUCCUCCUCUCUGUCAGGAACCAUUUCUUAUUUAUCACUGAAACAAGGUGCCUUCUUAGAAUCAGUCCAUGUAGUUCUGUUGCUCUAGUGAGCAGCCUUUCUGGUGCCGUCACUCCUCCAUCAACAACAGGGAAGCCAUUGUGUGUAGUGUUUUGCAGGACCUCGAUAAUGCGGCCCACCUUUUCCACACCAUGAAGAGUGAUUAAAGGUUGCUUUGCAUCAGCUAGCUCAGCUACAGUAAGGUUUCUCAUCCAUGUUUCAGGGUGGGCCUUCAAGAAAGGUAGGCCUUUCAUGUCCAGCAUGAUCUCGUAGAUGCUUGGGUUGAAGCUGUCCGCAACAGUUUUGGCAAUGAGUAGGACAAGCAUGGUUAUUGGCAGCAGGAGGAGAUUGUUGGUGAGCUCAAGGAAGAUGACACAAACAGAGACAGUCAUCCUCAUGGAGCCAGCCAUGAGGGAAGCAGCACCAAGGACAGCAUAGAGCCCCUGGUCGAUGCUGGUGUAGGGCCCCAUGACAAGACCCAAUAGGCGGCCAUAGGCUGAA